UACGUAGGGAGCAAGCGUUGUCCGGAAUUACUGGGCGUAAAGAGCUCGUAGGUGGUUUGUCGCGUUGUUCGUGAAAUCUCACGGCUUAACUGUGAGCGUGCGGGCGAUACGGGCAGACUUGAGUACUGCAGGGGAGACUGGAAUUCCUGGUGUAGCGGUGGAAUGCGCAGAUAUCUGGAGGAAUACCGGUGGCGAAGGCGGCAUCCUGGACCGGCAUUGACGCUGAGUGAGCGAAAGCCAGGGGAGCAAACGGG
This 254-nucleotide ribosomal RNA is filed under the name uncultured bacterium. RNAcentral's name for it is "partial 16S ribosomal RNA". It matches the Rfam family "Bacterial small subunit ribosomal RNA", at positions 524 to 776 of the family's 1533-position model. The record is from RNAcentral.